AGAGUUUGAUCCUGGCUCAGGAUGAACGCUAGCGACAGGCCUAACACAUGCAAGUCGAGGGGCAGCGGGGAGGUAGCAAUACCUUUGCCGGCGACCGGCGCACGGGUGAGUAACACGUAUGCAAUCCACCUGUAACAGGGGGAUAACCCGGAGAAAUCCGGACUAAUACCCCAUAAUAUGGGCGCUCCGCAUGGAGAGUCCAUUAAAGAGAGCAAUCUUGGUUACAGACGAGCAUGCGCUCCAUUAGCCAGUUGGCGGGGUAACGGCCCACCAAGGCGACGAUGGAUAGGGGUUCUGAGAGGAAGGUCCCCCACAUUGGAACUGAGACACGGUCCAAACUCCUACGGGAGGCAGCAGUGAGGAAUAUUGGUCAAUGGUCGGCAGACUGAACCAGCCAAGUCGCGUGAGGGAAGACGGCCCUACGGGUUGUAAACCUCUUUUGUCGGAGAGUAAAGUGCGCUACGCGUAGCGUAUUGCAAGUAUCCGAAGAAAAAGCAUCGGCUAACUCCGUGCCAGCAGCCGCGGUAAUACGGAGGAUGCGAGCGUUAUCCGGAUUUAUUGGGUUUAAAGGGUGCGUAGGCGGCACACCAAGUCAGCGGUGAAAUUUCCGGGCUCAACCCGGACUGUGCCGUUGAAACUGGCGAGCUAGAGUGCACAAGAGGCAGGCGGAAUGCGUGGUGUAGCGGUGAAAUGCAUAGAUAUCACGCAGAACCCCGAUUGCGAAGGCAGCCUGCUAGGGUGCGACAGACGCUGAGGCACGAAAGCGUGGGUAUCGAACAGGAUUAGAUACCCUGGUAGUCCACGCAGUAAACGAUGAAUACUAACUGGUUUGCGAAUAAAUGUAAGCGGGACAGCGAAAGCGUUA
Molecule: ribosomal RNA, 865 nt
Filed under: uncultured bacterium
Lineage: Bacteria
Description: bacterial SSU rRNA
Rfam family: Bacterial small subunit ribosomal RNA
Source: RNAcentral